Molecule: ribosomal RNA, 443 nt
Filed under: uncultured bacterium
Lineage: Bacteria
Description: partial 16S ribosomal RNA
Rfam family: Bacterial small subunit ribosomal RNA
Source: RNAcentral
UGGGGAAUCUUCCGCAAUGGACGAAAGUCUGACGGAGCAACGCCGCGUGUAUGACGAAGGCCUUCGGGUUGUAAAGUACUGUCUUUGGGGACGAACGGUAUCUAUGUAAAUAAUGUAGAUACAUGACGGUACCCAAGGAGGAAGCCCCGGCUAACUACGUGCCAGCAGCCGCGGUAAUACGUAGGGGGCGAGCGUUGUCCGGAAUCAUUGGGCGUAAAGGGCGCGUAGGCGGGUCAUUAAGUCUGGUGUGAAAGGCAGGGGCUCAACCCCUGGAAGGCACCGGAAACUGGUUAUCUUGAGGACAGGGAGAGGAAAGCGGAAUUCCACGUGUAGCGGUGAAAUGCGUAGAUAUGUGGAGGAACACCAGUGGCGAAGGCGGCUUUCUGGACUGUAACUGACGCUGAGGCGCGAAAGCGUGGGGAGCAAACAGGAUUAGAUACCCU